This 694-nucleotide ribosomal RNA is filed under the name uncultured bacterium. RNAcentral's name for it is "bacterial SSU rRNA". It matches the Rfam family "Bacterial small subunit ribosomal RNA", at positions 32 to 715 of the family's 1533-position model. The record is from RNAcentral.
AACGCUAGCUACAGGCUUAACACAUGCAAGUCGCGGGGCAGCAUGAAUUUAGCUUGCUAAAUUUGAUGGCGACCGGCGCACGGGUGAGUAACGCGUAUCCAACCUUCCCCUGUCCACGGGAUAGCCCGUCGAAAGGCGGAUUAAUACCGUAUGAGGUCACAUGACGGCAUCAGAGUGUGACGAAAGGUUUGGCGGACAGGGAUGGGGAUGCGUCCGAUUAGCUUGUUGGCGGGGUAACGGCCCACCAAGGCUACGAUCGGUAGGGGUUCUGAGAGGAAGGUCCCCCACAUUGGAACUGAGACACGGUCCAAACUCCUACGGGAGGCAGCAGUGAGGAAUAUUGGUCAAUGGGCGAGAGCCUGAACCAGCCAAGUAGCGUGCAGGAUGACGGCCCUAUGGGUUGUAAACUGCUUUUAUGCGGGGAUAACGUGCGCCACGUGUGGUGUAUUGCAGGUACCGCAUGAAUAAGGACCGGCUAAUUCCGUGCCAGCAGCCGCGGUAAUACGGAAGGUCCGGGCGUUAUCCGGAUUUAUUGGGUUUAAAGGGAGCGUAGGCCGCUGUUUAAGCGUGUUGUGAAAAACCGGGGCUCAACUCCGGUCGUGCAGCGCGAACUGGACGGCUUGAGUGCGCGGUAAGUGGGCGGAAUUUGUGGUGUAGCGGUGAAAUGCUUAGAUAUCACGAAGAACUCCGAUUG